GUUCCAACUUCCACUGAGCCACGGAUCAGAUAAGGAAAGACGUCAUUGGAAAGCUGAGCGGCGGCGAUACUUCCGGCCACCCCGGGACAAGGAUAAUGGAGGAUGUGGGUAUGGAGUUUCUUCUCGACGCCGUCGACAGGUCCGUUCUUGUAGAUCUGGGUAUUUUGUGUGAUUUGUUUCGCAUUCGGCCAAAACCAUUACGAGGUUCCCCUGAUGUUGCUUCCCACGGGAGAAACGAACCGUAGCGACCCCGAAGACUCAAAUGAUGGGUCUGGCUGCGGUUAGCAGCUCAGGGAAGACGGACCUGAGAAAGCACGAGAGAGUCUGCCGGCGUCGGAAAUCAUCACCGACUAGGUCGGCGCAGUCCACGUACAGAGUCAACCCCCCAGGCCCCAGGAUGGAUGAAAAGCUGAGGUAGUGGAUGUGGCCGAAGAAAUUGAACCACCGCGGUCUCCGUGGGCGGAUUUGACUGAACCUGCUGAUGGUUGGGAGCCGGAGCUAUCUAGCCUGCUUGGUUGCCCUGGUGCACAUGGUGCCCGCCGACUUGCUGCUGAGCACGGGCUAUCUGGUGAGGGCUCAUCCUCCUCAGGUAUGAGCGCUGAAAGUCGAAGAAGCGACACAGCCGAGCCUGCGGAAAAUUGCAGACCUAUAGACCGAAACUCAAUAUCACGCCUGAAGCCUUUCAGUAUGGUUCAGUUUGAGAAUUUUCUAGUGCGCGUUGCCCGCUUGUUCAUCUAGGUUGUACAAUGGCUUUGUGUUCAUCAGUUGUUGCGUUCAUGAGUUAUGUUUGUGAACAGUUAGCUGUGUUUUCGCAUGUAGUUGACUAGUUGAGGACUGCCUAGUCUGUGAUAUCUGUCAAGUCUGUGUGUUCCUGAUUGUAAAUACUCCUCCUAGCUGUGUCCUGGGUCACUCAAUGAUGAGAGUUUUCGCUGUA
Triticum aestivum (bread wheat) is the source of this 934-nucleotide long non-coding RNA. RefSeq lists it as uncharacterized. NCBI's taxonomy places the organism in Eukaryota, Viridiplantae, Streptophyta, Magnoliopsida, Poales, Poaceae. The transcript is spliced from 2 exons. The record is from RefSeq and is a predicted model, not a curated record.